This 145-nucleotide ribosomal RNA is filed under the name uncultured eukaryote. RNAcentral describes it as "partial 18S ribosomal RNA". It matches the Rfam family "Eukaryotic small subunit ribosomal RNA", at positions 1299 to 1458 of the family's 1831-position model. The record is from RNAcentral.
UGGUGGAGUGAUUUGUCUGGUUAAUUCCGUUAACGAACGAGACCGCCGCCUGCUAAAUAGUUCUACUAAUCGUUUUUGAUUGGUUAAGAGCUUCUUAGAGGGACGUUCAUUCUUACAAGAUGAAGGAAGGAUGGCGGCAAUAACA